AUAUUAUUAUCCUUUAUUAAAAAGUUGUUGUUGCUUUUCGUUGCUAUGGUGACCACUUUAGCAACGUUACCAUAGCAACGGUUAAAUAUUAAUGAAUAAAAUUUGUAAAAAGAUUUAUCAAUUAAAUUGUCGAUAAUAAACAUUUUGACAGAAGCGCGCAAAGCGCGUUCGAUUUUCUAGUUAA
Cotesia glomerata is the source of this 184-nucleotide long non-coding RNA. RefSeq lists it as uncharacterized. The record is from RefSeq and is a predicted model, not a curated record. The transcript has 2 exons. NCBI's taxonomy places the organism in Eukaryota, Metazoa, Arthropoda, Insecta, Hymenoptera, Braconidae.